This is a non-coding RNA of Phrynosoma platyrhinos (Desert horned lizard), 72 nucleotides long. The record is from the annotation of a GenBank genome assembly. NCBI's taxonomy places the organism in Eukaryota, Metazoa, Chordata, Lepidosauria, Squamata, Phrynosomatidae.
GCCAGUGUGAUGUUGUGGUAUGAACGCUGGACUAUAACUCUGGAGACUAAAGUUCAAAUCCUUGCUCAGCCA